CACGCCGUAAACGCUGAUUACUAGGUGUAGGGGGUAUAGACUCCCUCUGUGCCGCAGUUAACGCAUUAAGUAAUCCACCUGGGGAGUACGGCCGCAAGGUUAAAACUCAAAGGAAUUGACGGGGGCCCGCACAAGCAGCGGAGCAUGUGGUUUAAUUCGAAGCAACGCGAAGAACCUUACCUAGACUUGACAUCUCCUGCAUUACUCUUAAUCGAGGAAGUCCCUUCGGGGACAGGAUGACAGGUGG
Molecule: ribosomal RNA, 247 nt
Filed under: uncultured Eubacteriales bacterium
Lineage: Bacteria; Bacillati; Bacillota; Clostridia; Eubacteriales
Description: uncultured Clostridiales bacterium partial 16S ribosomal RNA
Rfam family: Bacterial small subunit ribosomal RNA
Source: RNAcentral